Molecule: ribosomal RNA, 253 nt
Filed under: uncultured bacterium
Lineage: Bacteria
Description: partial 16S ribosomal RNA
Rfam family: Bacterial small subunit ribosomal RNA
Source: RNAcentral
UACAGAGGGGGCAAGCGUUAUUCGGAAUUAUUGGGCGUAAAGGGCGCGUAGGCGGCGAUUCAAGUGACGGGUGAAAUCCCUCGGCUUAACCGAGGAACUGCCUGUCAGACUGGAUUGCUUGAGUCCGGGAGAGGCGAGUGGAAUUCCCAGUGUAGCGGUGAAAUGCGUAGAUAUUGGGAGGAACACCAGUGGCGAAGGCGGCUCGCUGGACCGGAACUGACGCUGAGGCGCGAAAGCUAGGGGAGCAAACGGG